GAUGAACGCUGGCGGCGUGCCUAAUACAUGCAAGUCGAGCGAACAGAUGAGGAGCUUGCUCCUCUGACGUUAGCGGCGGUCGGGUGAGUAACACGUGGAUAACCUACCUAUAAGACUGGGAUAACUUCGGGAAACCGGAGCUAAUACCGGAUAAUAUAUUGAACCGCAUGGUUCAAUAGUGAAAGACGGUUUUGCUGUCACUUAUAGAUGGAUCCGCGCCGCAUUAGCUAGUUGGUAAGGUAACGGCUUACCAAGGCAACGAUGCGUAGCCGACCUGAGAGGGUGAUCGGCCACACUGGAACUGAGACACGGUCCAGACUCCUACGGGAGGCAGCAGUAGGGAAUCUUCCGCAAUGGGCGAAAGCCUGACGGAGCAACGCCGCGUGAGUGAUGAAGGUCUUCGGAUCGUAAAACUCUGUUAUUAGGGAAGAACAAAUGUGUAAGUAACUAUGCACGUCUUGACGGUACCUAAUCAGAAAGCCACGGCUAACUACGUG
This 497-nucleotide ribosomal RNA is filed under the name uncultured bacterium. RNAcentral's name for it is "partial 16S ribosomal RNA". It matches the Rfam family "Bacterial small subunit ribosomal RNA", at positions 28 to 507 of the family's 1533-position model. The record is from RNAcentral.